CUCGUAGGCGGUUUGUCGCGUCGAAUGUGAAAACCCGGGGCUCAACUCCGGGCCUGCAUUCGAUACGGGCAGACUAGAGUUCGGUAGGGGAGACUGGAAUUCCUGGUGUAGCGGUGAAAUGCGCAGAUAUCAGGAGGAACACCGGUGGCGAAGGCGGGUCUCUGGGCCGAUACUGACGCUGAGGAGCGAAAGCGUGGGGAGCGAACAGGAUUAGAUACCCUGGUAGUCCACGCCGUAAACGGUGGGCACUAGGUGUGGGACUCAUUCCACGAGUUCCGUGCCGUAGCUAACGCAUUAAGUGCCCCGCCUGGGGAGUACGG
This 320-nucleotide ribosomal RNA is filed under the name Pycnococcus provasolii. Its description in RNAcentral is "partial Bacterial small subunit ribosomal RNA". It matches the Rfam family "Bacterial small subunit ribosomal RNA", at positions 568 to 885 of the family's 1533-position model. Lineage: Eukaryota; Viridiplantae; Chlorophyta; Pseudoscourfieldiophyceae; Pseudoscourfieldiales; Pycnococcaceae. The record is from RNAcentral.